GGCGCGUUAGCUCAGUUAGUUAGAGCUUCGUGCUAAUAACGCGAAGGUCGAGGUUUCGAUCCCCUCACGGGCCA
This 74-nucleotide transfer RNA is filed under the name Trichonephila clavata. It matches the Rfam family "tRNA". Rfam says of the family: Transfer RNA (tRNA) molecules are approximately 80 nucleotides in length. Their secondary structure includes four short double-helical elements and three loops (D, anti-codon, and T loops). Further hydrogen bonds mediate the characteristic L-shaped molecular structure. tRNAs have two regions of fundamental functional importance: the anti-codon, which is responsible for specific mRNA codon recognition, and the 3' end, to which the tRNAs corresponding amino acid is attached (by aminoacyl-tRNA synthetases). tRNAs cope with the degeneracy of the genetic code in two manners: having more than one tRNA (with a specific anti-codon) for a particular amino acid; and 'wobble' base-pairing, i.e. permitting non-standard base-pairing at the 3rd anti-codon position. Lineage: Eukaryota; Metazoa; Arthropoda; Arachnida; Araneae; Nephilidae. The record is from Rfam by way of RNAcentral.